GAUGAACGCUGGCGGCGUGCCUAAUACAUGCAAGUCGAGCGAACAGACGAGGAGCUUGCUCCUUUGACGUUAGCGGCGGACGGGUGAGUCACACGUAGGUAACCUACCUAUAAGACUGGGAUAACUUCGGGAAACCGGAGCUAACACCGGAUAAUAUUUCGAACCGCAUGGUUCGUUAGUGAAAGAUGGCUUUGCUAUCACUUAUAGAUGGACCCGAGCCGUUUUAGCUAGUUGGUACGGUAACGGCUUACCAAGGCUACGAUGCGUAGCCGACCUGAGAGGAUGAUCGGCCACACUGGAACUGAGACACGGUCCAGACUCCUACGGGAGGCAGCAGUAGGGAAUCUUCCGCAAUGGGCGAAAGCCUGACGGAGCAACGCCGCGUGAGUGAUGAAGGUCUUCGGAUCGUAAAACUCUGUUAUUAGGGAAGAACAAACGUGUAAUUAACUGUGCACGUCUUGACGGUACCUAAUCAGAAAGCCACGGCUAACUACGUG
RNAcentral lists this ribosomal RNA (497 nucleotides) under uncultured bacterium. RNAcentral describes it as "partial 16S ribosomal RNA". It matches the Rfam family "Bacterial small subunit ribosomal RNA", at positions 28 to 507 of the family's 1533-position model. The record is from RNAcentral.